AUUGAACGCUGGCGGCAGGCCUAACACAUGCAAGUCGAGCGGAUGAAGGGAGCUUGCUCCUGGAUUCAGCGGCGGACGGGUGAGUAAUGCCUAGGAAUCUGCCUGGUAGUGGGGGAUAACGUCCGGAAACGGGCGCUAAUACCGCAUACGUCCUGAGGGAGAAAGUGGGGGAUCUUCGGACCUCACGCUAUCAGAUGAGCCUAGGUCGGAUUAGCUAGUUGGUGGGGUAAAGGCCCACCAAGGCGACGAUCCGUAACUGGUCUGAGAGGAUGAUCAGUCACACUGGAACUGAGACACGGUCCAGACUCCUACGGGAGGCAGCAGUGGGGAAUAUUGGACAAUGGGCGAAAGCCUGAUCCAGCCAUGCCGCGUGUGUGAAGAAGGUCUUCGGAUUGUAAAGCACUUUAAGUUGGGAGGAAGGGCAGUAAGUUAAUACCUUGCUGUUUUGACGUUACCAACAGAAUAAGCGCCGGCUAACUUCGUG
RNAcentral lists this ribosomal RNA (484 nucleotides) under uncultured bacterium. RNAcentral's name for it is "partial 16S ribosomal RNA". It matches the Rfam family "Bacterial small subunit ribosomal RNA", at positions 30 to 507 of the family's 1533-position model. The record is from RNAcentral.